GAAAACGGACCUGAUACCAAUUUGCCAUUUGUUUGUCUCGAGCUGCAUUUAGUACGACUGCGUAAGGUCGUGUUCACUUCCGGUAAGUCAACGUCCAUAUCCGGUGUGCCAGCUGGUCAGAUUGUCAAAGGUUUUUACCAGAUUGUGAUCAAUUUGAAGUUUUUUACCGAUCGAUAAUCUCUCAGAGAUCAGAAUGGUGGAGUAUGGAUCCGGACCUGUCAAAGAGAGCAUCGAUAAUGCGGUUUUUAUCGUCCCUGGACUAAUAAUAGGGUCUUUAUUCCUUUUCUUUGCUUACAAGCUGGUAUCCAGUCUAAAAGAAAAGGAAAGACAGAAAGAUGAAAAGAAAAAGAUGAAACUUCAAAGGAAAGAAAAAGAGACAAAGAAGAAGAAGAAAUGAAAACAAAUGAAUUAGAAAUCUUCAUUAAAAGAAAUUGUGAGAAUGCUGUAUGGGAGCCACGGCAGCUAAAGUCUGUUUCAAUUUCCAGUAACAUAAAGGAAAGGAUGUGCCGUCUUUUGCAUAUUUGCAAAUCUUCAUAUGUACUUGUUUGCAAAUAUGGAAGAGAAAAGAUUCUAAAGACUGUUUCAUAUUUAUAUUUCAUCAUAUCUGGAUGGAUGAAGAGAGAAAAAGUUAAUUUGCUUCUAUAGUCCAUUUCAUAUUUUAUGUUUCAUUAAUUCAGGUUGGAUGUUGAGAAGAUGGAUGUGUUCACUUUGAUGAUACUGGUUCAGUGUGUUUUAUGAUAUUUUACUUUAUAAUCCUAACUGGAGCUGAAUGUUUUAACUUUAUUGGUCCUUACGAUGACAUUUGGACUGAUUAUUUCAUCAGGACAAUUAUUUCUUGUAUUGUCAAAUAUUCAGGUUUUAACAGUUCCUACUGUUUUCUGUAGAAACAGCUAUGAAUUCCACUAAGUUGAUCAUCACAUCAAAAGAUUUGUCGACAACCGCAUACCCUGGUAAUCAAACUGUUAACCUUUGUAAUAAAUACUGUAACCACAGCUGACACCAGCCUGGAAGUCAUCAUCCUCUGAUUAUCUACAGUGUAGAUGUAAUUUGGAAUCAACUUUUCGGGACCAUUGAAAUAAAAUGGAUUGUAAGCCUCUGGUAUUUUAUGGAAAGACACUGGUACUGCACGCAGCAUAAAGCUGAGUAAUAAGUCCAACUACAAACUUUGAGAAAAAAAAUGAUUUGAGUAGUCUGAACUAUUUGUGAAAAGAAUUUAUUUGAAAUAAGCCGGUUCUGUAAGUGAGCUUGUACAUUAAGAAAGAUCCAUUGUUAAUACAUGUACAGCUACCAAAACCAUGUCAUAGUUAUCCAAAACCAGUGUUCAAGCAUGAUAAGGCUUGUCAGUGAAAAAUCUUAAACUUUAACGAUAUUGAAUAAUACAAAUAAAUUGAGCAGAGAUGAAGUUAUUAUUUAGUGACAAGUAGAUUAUUGUCACGCUACCGAUAUUACUCGUUACUUCUCCUACCUUUUGUAAUUUAUAUUGUGUAUAAUUGUGAUUGGUACUGUAUGAAUGAUGAUGAGAUUUAAUCUGAAGGUAUUUUUUUUAUUGAUUUUUAAGGAUGACCCCGGUAGGAAAAAUUUAUUCCCACAAGUUUACCAUGGUGAAUAUUUUUUUUCUCUAAGUUUCUAUUUUGAAAUCACUGACAUUUAGGGAGAAAAAGAUCUCAUCGAUUCGGAAUUAGUGACAGAAAUGCAUCACUUUACAAUCUAGGAUAAGAUUAUAUGUAAAGAAAUCAGAUAUGGGACCAACAUUUGUAUUUCUAACUGGUUGUGCUAAAUUGAUUCAUCUUACUUACAAGGAUUUGAUUUCAACUAUAUAUAUAUUUUUCAUCUUCCAUAUAUUUUUCAUAGAAAAACUGUUUGGAGUUGGAAACAUGACAUUUCAUUUUUUUUUUUUUAUUUCACAAAGGUUUUAGAAUAAAAAAAAAUGAACUCUUGUCAUAUUCCUAUUUAUAUAUAAUAUACCGGUAGGUCGUUGAUAUCAGAAUCAUGAUUUGAUUUUAAAUUUCAUGUCGUUUGUUUAGACACAUUUUUGCAUUUUUUGCAAUAUUGUGAACAUAUUUUUAGCAGUUAAUAUAUAUACUAUGUUUCUGUCCUUGUGGAAAUCUGUUUUAAAUAUUAUAUUGUAAUUAAAACCUGUUUUACUAUUUUUGGUAGAACUUUUUUUAAUCUCCUUUUUACCAUUAUUUAUUGUGCAAUUAUAAAUGUUUACAUUUGGUUAUGGUUGAAUGAUUUGCAGCUGUAUAUCUGUUGUGUAACUGGGACAAUUAUCCUCUGUGAUCAGCUCUGUUUCAAAAAGUAACAAGGAUUCAUACCAUUAAGAUACAGUUCACUUUUGGUUAAUCAGCCAACAGAUUUUCAGUGGCGAACCUAAGAACCAGACCUCGACAUUGGCAUCUACAAUAUUCGGAACAUUUAUGAUAUAAUUUUUUUUUUUGUUUUUUUUUUGAUAAAGUUGAAGGAUAAGUAUGGAUAGAAAUGGUAAUUAUAAUAUUUAGGUAAAUACCUACAUUCAGAAUUAAAAAUAAAUAAAUUAAUGCAUGCAUAAAAUUUGCAAAAAUCAAAUUUCUAAAAAAAAAUGUAUAACCAGAAAGACCGGACCUUGGAUUGCCAUCAUUUCCACAACUUAUCCCAUAGUUUGUAUAUCUCUUAUGUACGAAGUUAUCAUAACAGUGCAUGAUACAAAUGUAGGCUGUAGGUGUUGACAAUUAAGUUAAUUAUGUCUGGUUGAGAUAUUCUGCAUAAAUUCUAUAACUGAUAAUGGGUGUAUAAUUAUCGCUGACAUUAAUGAGAUUAUGUAUAUAAUACAUCAUUUCUCAUAGCUACUACAUCUCCAUUUGAAGUUUUAAAUUAAAAGUAAAUUAAUUAUCAACUGCAUCACAAAGACAUUUGAUCAUAUUCACACUCUAUAUAGAUGUAGUUUUAAUUUUCAAUCAUAUUAUAUACAGUAGAUGAUCAUUUUAGGAAUGCCGUUGUUAAUUUUUGUUUGUUGGUGUUAAAAACUACGUUUAAUAGAAAAAGUGGGAUUAGUUUAUUAAUCCUCUUGUAAUAUUAUCUUUUAAACUUAUAUUAAUAAAAUUUAGGUUUGAAAUAAAUUGAUCACAUUUCAUCAAGAGAAUAUUGGAGUAUGUUCCUUAUUUAGGCUAUUGUAUCAGUUUAUUAAGGAGUUGAAUUGGAGAAUGUAAGAAACCGAGUACGAGAUAUGUAUGUGCCAUGUCAUUAAAAAUCAAACAGAAAUCUA
Pecten maximus is the source of this 3241-nucleotide long non-coding RNA. RefSeq lists it as uncharacterized. The transcript is spliced from 2 exons. The record is from RefSeq and is a predicted model, not a curated record. Lineage: Eukaryota; Metazoa; Mollusca; Bivalvia; Pectinida; Pectinidae.